Molecule: microRNA precursor, 90 nt
Filed under: Moorena producens 3L
Lineage: Bacteria; Bacillati; Cyanobacteriota; Cyanophyceae; Coleofasciculales; Coleofasciculaceae
Description: Moorea producens 3L microRNA mir-569
Source: RNAcentral
UACGUACGUAGUACGUACGUACGUACGUACGUACGUACGUACGUACGUACGUACGUACGUACGUACGUACGUACGUACGUACGUACGUAC